UAUAGUUUUUUCACCUGUAUUGUGGAGGUGAACUCAGUGGACAUGAGUUUGAGCAAGCUCCGGGAGUUGGUAAUGAACAGGGAAGCCUGGUGUGCUGCAGCCUAUGGAGUUACAAAGAGUCGGACACAACUGAGUGACUGAACUGAACUGGUGGUGGAAGGUGAAAGGAAGAGGGAGUUGGGAACAGAUGUAGAAUUAGCCAGCCCAGAGUUCCCCUUUAAUGCCGUUUUGUAAGUAGAGUUGGGCUUCCCUGGUAGCUCAGUGGUAAAGAACUCACCUGCCAAUGCAGGAGAUGCAGUUUCAGUCCCUGGAUUGGGAAUAUCCCCUGGAGAUGAAAAUGGCAACCCACUCCCGUAUUCUUGCCUGGGAAUUUCAUGGACAGGGGAACCUGGUGAGCUACAGUCUAUAAGGUUGCAAAAGAGUUGGACAUGACGGAGCAAUUAAACAACAACGAUGGCAUCAGGAAAGAUCAAUUAAACAAGAAGGUGGAGAAUAAAAGGUGGUACGCCUAGAUGGCCAGGUAAAAAUGGAGCACUGACAAGCAAGCCCCAAGGAAAUGUGUAACCUCCACAGGAUGUUUUAUUAUUGGCUUGGGAGGAAGUGAUGAGAAAUUGAAGUACAGAGAUGUUUUUUUGUCCUAUGUGACUAUGGCCAUCCCAGUGCUGGUAAUGAUGGGGUGAAGGUGUAUUCUCAACAGGUAGACUCCAGGGCCUGCCCCACUUCUGUGGAAGUGAUCCUGGCACAGUGAAGCCAUACGAACUGGCAGAGGCUUCGGAUCAGCCAUACCACAAAGGAUGCUGCUUUUCCUAGCAGGGGCCCUAGGGAAUUUUCUGAAAGAACCAGGACUUGACACUGAUACAGGGAAGUUUUGUAUACCCUGAGGUCUUAUCAGUAAGAGAAAUAACUAAAUAGGGCUGAAUAAAGUGAUCGCAUUGGUCCUCUUCUACUCCAAGAUGGUGUGGCUUGAGGAAACACUCCCUGGAGAAGAAUGAUUGAAUCAGAGACUCUGAAAGGAAGGUCACUUUUGUCCUGUUGAGAAGGCCAGGCCAUCACAAAGUGAAGCACUCUAAAGAAGGCAUGUUUUGUAAUUUGCUCUAGUUUGAAUGAGAACAGUUUUCUGAGUGAAAAAUUCAUAAUGGACGUUCUGCUACCUUGUGUAAGUGGGAAAUGGUAAUAAUUGGGUGAUGUGGCUGGAUGGUUAUUUCUUUUCUCUAGGCCUUCAUUCUGACUUAAGCGAGGAUGGUUUUUAAUUAUUUAAGAUAAUGUCAGACCAAGUCGGCUAGCCCUAGUAUGGUCAUUAGUAAUUCUGUUAGAAAAGCUUGCAUCAUUUGCUCCUUGUACUUUCACGUCAAAAAAACCUUUACCCACCAGGUGUUUUAAAUAAUAUAGUUUAGCUCCAAGACCUAUAUACAGUAUUUUCUUUAUGCUAAAUUAGUUUGCUUAAGAAAGGCCUCUGAGAUAGGUAAAGUGAAAAGCAUUGCUCCCAAGAAUCCAACCAACACAACCAUUUAAAACCUAAUAAAAUUGUAUUUGCAUAAGAGAAUGAAUAGUAUCUCAUUAUUCUAAUGAAAGUAUAGUUUGUGUUUUAUUUUACUUAGGUUUGCCUUUCUAUGAGUCAUAAAUAAGAAAUGCCAAGUAAUAAAUACACUGUACAAAAUGCAUUUUAAUAAUCCUAAAGGGUUUCAUUACUGUGACUAUAAUCUGGAAAUGUAAAUUAUGGCUGAUACUCGAGCCCUCAUUUACCGACUUCAGAGGUUCUGGUUUUGCUGCUAAAAUGCUAUAGGAUUAUGCUAACUGUUUACAGAAUAAAUUAACUUGGUAUGGCUAAAUUGAAGUUCCUUGUGUUUGAAUAUCUAAAAGAUAAUAUCAUAGUCUUCAAGGAAUAUAUCAUGAUAUCUAAUGUUGUAUGGUCUUGAUUUUUUUUUAAAAAUGAAAACAAUCCAUACUUCAAGGUAAUAAGCUGGAAAUUUACCCAAGAGAAACCAAGCAGCUGUUUUCAAUAACUCAGGUAAAUUCCAGUCAUGGGAAAACCUCUGUUACUGCCCAAGCUGUUGGAAGUCUUGUGUGUUCAAAGGCCUUGGGACUAGCAAAAACAUUCCUUAUGCAAUCUUUUUCCAACCCAUUGUUCUUAUUUUGUUUCCUGUUCUCUGUAUUUACCUUCCACUGCAAUGAGUCUGGGAUUUUGAAUAUUUAGUGCUCCAGAAAUAAAUUAUAUAGCCCUGUGUAUUUGUAUUAAUGCCUUGCUGUUGAUCUGUAAUGCCCUUUCUAAAACUCCAUGCAGCCACAUCCUCCUUUAAGUCCUGGAUCAAAGGCUACCAUUUCCAUGAAGUGCUUUAGCUCAGAGGUUGACUCUCUAUGAAAGUCCUUUCUAAGUGGUUUACUUUCAUUCACAUGUAACAGGUGUCACAUCAAUCCUUAUUUAUGAUGUAAGAAAUUUUAUUUUUGAUUUAUGAUUUGUUUUUGAUCACACAUUUCCCAUCUUUCAAACUAGACUGUCAUCUCUCUGAGGACAAGGAUCUUGUCUUAAAUUUAUAUGUAUGAUCUAGAUUGCUUAGCAAGUGCUUUACGUGCAUUUGGGAUUCAAUAAAUACUUGAGUAAUUGAACAUUUAGUAUAUAAUUGAGUGGAUUUCUAACAAACUGGUCUAGUCCAGCAGAUCAU
This is a long non-coding RNA of Bos taurus (domestic cattle), 2660 nucleotides long. Lineage: Eukaryota; Metazoa; Chordata; Mammalia; Artiodactyla; Bovidae. The record is from Ensembl.